GAGGAAUAUUGGUCAAUGGGCGAGAGCCUGAACCAGCCAAGUAGCGUGCAGGAUGACGGCCCUCCGGGUUGUAAACUGCUUUUAGUUGGGAAUAAAAAAAGGGACUUGUCCCUUCUUGUAUGUACCUUCAGAAAAAGGACCGGCUAAUUCCGUGCCAGCAGCCGCGGUAAUACGGAAGGUCCAGGCGUUAUCCGGAUUUAUUGGGUUUAAAGGGAGCGUAGGCGGAUUGUUAAGUCAGCGGUUAAAGGGUGUGGCUCAACCAUGCAUUGCCGUCGAAACUGGCGAUCUUGAGUGCAGACAGGGAUGCCGGAAUUCGUGGUGUAGCGGUGAAAUGCUUAGAUAUCACGAAGAACUCCGAUCGCGGAGGCAGGUGUCCGGGCUGCAACUGACGCUGAGGCUCGAAAGUGUGGGUAUCAAACAGGAUUAGAUACCCUGGUAGUCCACACAGUAAACGAUGUAUACUCGCGGUUUGCGAUAGACAGUAAGCCGCCAAGCGAAAGCAUUAAGUAUACCACCUGGGGAGUACGCCGGCAACGGUG
This 539-nucleotide ribosomal RNA is filed under the name uncultured bacterium. RNAcentral describes it as "bacterial SSU rRNA". It matches the Rfam family "Bacterial small subunit ribosomal RNA", at positions 356 to 896 of the family's 1533-position model. The record is from RNAcentral.